This 2906-nucleotide ribosomal RNA is filed under the name Klebsiella michiganensis. RNAcentral describes it as "23S ribosomal RNA". It matches the Rfam family "Bacterial large subunit ribosomal RNA". The record is from RNAcentral. Lineage: Bacteria; Pseudomonadati; Pseudomonadota; Gammaproteobacteria; Enterobacterales; Enterobacteriaceae.
GGUUAAGCGACUAAGCGUACACGGUGGAUGCCCUGGCAGUCAGAGGCGAUGAAGGACGUGCUAAUCUGCGAAAAGCGUCGGUAAGGUGAUAUGAACCGUUAUAGCCGGCGAUGUCCGAAUGGGGAAACCCAGUGCAAUUCGUUGCACUAUCGUUAACUGAAUACAUAGGUUAACGAGGCGAACCGGGGGAACUGAAACAUCUAAGUACCCCGAGGAAAAGAAAUCAACCGAGAUUCCCCCAGUAGCGGCGAGCGAACGGGGAGCAGCCCGGAGUCUGAAUCAGCUUGUGUGUUAGUGGAAGCGUCUGGAAAGUCGCAGGGUACAGGGUGAUACUCCCGUACACUAAAGCACACAGGUUGUGAACUCGAAGAGUAGGGCGGGACACGUGGUAUCCUGUCUGAAUAUGGGGGGACCAUCCUCCAAGGCUAAAUACUCCUGACUGACCGAUAGUGAACCAGUACCGUGAGGGAAAGGCGAAAAGAACCCCGGCGAGGGGAGUGAAAAAGAACCUGAAACCGUGUACGUACAAGCAGUAGGAGCCCACUUGUUGGGUGACUGCGUACCUUUUGUAUAAUGGGUCAGCGACUUAUAUUCUGUAGCAAGGUUAACCGUAUAGGGGAGCCGCAGGGAAACCGAGUCUUAACUGGGCGUUAAGUUGCAGGGUAUAGACCCGAAACCCGGUGAUCUAGCCAUGGGCAGGUUGAAGGUUGGGUAACACUAACUGGAGGACCGAACCGACUAAUGUUGAAAAAUUAGCGGAUGACUUGUGGCUGGGGGUGAAAGGCCAAUCAAACCGGGAGAUAGCUGGUUCUCCCCGAAAGCUAUUUAGGUAGCGCCUCGUGAAUUCAUCUUCGGGGGUAGAGCACUGUUUCGGCUAGGGGGUCAUCCCGACUUACCAACCCGAUGCAAACUACGAAUACCGAAGAAUGUUAUCACGGGAGACACACGGCGGGUGCUAACGUCCGUCGUGAAGAGGGAAACAACCCAGACCGCCAGCUAAGGUCCCAAAGUCAUGGUUAAGUGGGAAACGAUGUGGGAAGGCCCAGACAGCCAGGAUGUUGGCUUAGAAGCAGCCAUCAUUUAAAGAAAGCGUAAUAGCUCACUGGUCGAGUCGGCCUGCGCGGAAGAUGUAACGGGGCUAAACCAUGCACCGAAGCUGCGGCAGCGACACUAUGUGUUGUUGGGUAGGGGAGCGUUCUGUAAGCCGUUGAAGGUGGCCUGUGAGGGUUGCUGGAGGUAUCAGAAGUGCGAAUGCUGACAUAAGUAACGAUAAUGCGGGUGAAAAACCCGCACGCCGGAAGACCAAGGGUUCCUGUCCAACGUUAAUCGGGGCAGGGUGAGUCGACCCCUAAGGCGAGGCCGAAAGGCGUAGUCGAUGGGAAACAGGUUAAUAUUCCUGUACUCGGUGUUACUGCGAAGGGGGGACGGAGAAGGCUAUGUUGGCCGGGCGACGGUUGUCCCGGUUUAAGCAUGUAGGCGGAUGUUCCAGGUAAAUCCGGAACGUUAUUAACGCUGAGGUGUGAUGACGAGGCACUACGGUGCUGAAGUGACAAAUGCCCUGCUUCCAGGAAAAGCCUCUAAGCAUCAGGUAACAUCAAAUCGUACCCCAAACCGACACAGGUGGUCAGGUAGAGAAUACCAAGGCGCUUGAGAGAACUCGGGUGAAGGAACUAGGCAAAAUGGUGCCGUAACUUCGGGAGAAGGCACGCUGAUGGUAGGUGAAGCGACUUGCUCGUGGAGCUGAAAUCAGUCGAAGAUACCAGCUGGCUGCAACUGUUUAUUAAAAACACAGCACUGUGCAAACACGAAAGUGGACGUAUACGGUGUGACGCCUGCCCGGUGCCGGAAGGUUAAUUGAUGGGGUUAUCCGUAAGGAGAAGCUCUUGAUCGAAGCCCCGGUAAACGGCGGCCGUAACUAUAACGGUCCUAAGGUAGCGAAAUUCCUUGUCGGGUAAGUUCCGACCUGCACGAAUGGCGUAAUGAUGGCCAGGCUGUCUCCACCCGAGACUCAGUGAAAUUGAACUCGCUGUGAAGAUGCAGUGUACCCGCGGCAAGACGGAAAGACCCCGUGAACCUUUACUAUAGCUUGACACUGAACACUGGUCCUUGAUGUGUAGGAUAGGUGGGAGGCUUUGAAGUGUGGACGCCAGUCUGCAUGGAGCCAUCCUUGAAAUACCACCCUUUAAUGGCUGGUGUUCUAACGUGGGCCCCUAAUCGGGGUUGCGGACAGUGUCUGGUGGGUAGUUUGACUGGGGCGGUCUCCUCCUAAAGAGUAACGGAGGAGCACGAAGGUCAGCUAAUCCUGGUCGGACAUCAGGAGGUUAGUGCAAUGGCAUAAGCUGGCUUGACUGCGAGCGUGACGGCGCGAGCAGGUGCGAAAGCAGGUCAUAGUGAUCCGGUGGUUCUGAAUGGAAGGGCCAUCGCUCAACGGAUAAAAGGUACUCCGGGGAUAACAGGCUGAUACCGCCCAAGAGUUCAUAUCGACGGCGGUGUUUGGCACCUCGAUGUCGGCUCAUCACAUCCUGGGGCUGAAGUAGGUCCCAAGGGUAUGGCUGUUCGCCAUUUAAAGUGGUACGCGAGCUGGGUUUAGAACGUCGUGAGACAGUUCGGUCCCUAUCUGCCGUGGGCGCUGGAGAAUUGAGGGGGGCUGCUCCUAGUACGAGAGGACCGGAGUGGACGCAUCACUGGUGUUCGGGUUGUCAUGCCAAUGGCAUUGCCCGGUAGCUAAAUGCGGAAGAGAUAAGUGCUGAAAGCAUCUAAGCACGAAACUUGCCCCGAGAUGAGUUCUCCCUGACUCCUUGAGAGUCCUGAAGGAACGUUGAAGACGACGACGUUGAUAGGCCGGGUGUGUAAGCGCAGCGAUGCGUUGAGCUAACCGGUACUAAUGAACCGUGAGGCUUAACCUU